GCCUAGCCGGCUCAGUUGGUAGAGCAUGCAACUCUUGAUUUCUCAGGGUUGUGGGUUCGAGCCCCAUGUUGGGUG
Molecule: transfer RNA, 75 nt
Filed under: Felis catus (domestic cat)
Lineage: Eukaryota; Metazoa; Chordata; Mammalia; Carnivora; Felidae
Rfam family: tRNA
About the family: Transfer RNA (tRNA) molecules are approximately 80 nucleotides in length. Their secondary structure includes four short double-helical elements and three loops (D, anti-codon, and T loops). Further hydrogen bonds mediate the characteristic L-shaped molecular structure. tRNAs have two regions of fundamental functional importance: the anti-codon, which is responsible for specific mRNA codon recognition, and the 3' end, to which the tRNAs corresponding amino acid is attached (by aminoacyl-tRNA synthetases). tRNAs cope with the degeneracy of the genetic code in two manners: having more than one tRNA (with a specific anti-codon) for a particular amino acid; and 'wobble' base-pairing, i.e. permitting non-standard base-pairing at the 3rd anti-codon position.
Source: Rfam by way of RNAcentral